GCGUGAUUAACUCAGUUGGUAGAGUGUCAGCCUUCCAAGCUGUUCGUCGCCCGUUCGAGUCGGGUAUCACGCUCCA
Molecule: transfer RNA, 76 nt
Filed under: Aeromonas phage phiWae14
Description: tRNA-Gly
Rfam family: tRNA
About the family: Transfer RNA (tRNA) molecules are approximately 80 nucleotides in length. Their secondary structure includes four short double-helical elements and three loops (D, anti-codon, and T loops). Further hydrogen bonds mediate the characteristic L-shaped molecular structure. tRNAs have two regions of fundamental functional importance: the anti-codon, which is responsible for specific mRNA codon recognition, and the 3' end, to which the tRNAs corresponding amino acid is attached (by aminoacyl-tRNA synthetases). tRNAs cope with the degeneracy of the genetic code in two manners: having more than one tRNA (with a specific anti-codon) for a particular amino acid; and 'wobble' base-pairing, i.e. permitting non-standard base-pairing at the 3rd anti-codon position.
Source: RNAcentral